Molecule: non-coding RNA, 253 nt
Filed under: uncultured bacterium
Lineage: Bacteria
Also listed under: 1 other name
Description: partial 16S ribosomal RNA
Rfam family: Bacterial small subunit ribosomal RNA
Source: RNAcentral
UACGAAGGGGGCUAGCGUUGUUCGGAAUUACUGGGCGUAAAGCGCGCGCAGGCGGCCGUUCAAGUCAGGGGUGAAAGCCCGGAGCUCAACUCCGGAAUUGCCUUUGAAACUGAUCGGCUUGAGUACGGAAGAGGUGAGUGGAAUUCCCAGUGUAGAGGUGAAAUUCGUAGAUAUUGGGAAGAACACCGGUGGCGAAGGCGGCUCACUGGUCCGUUACUGACGCUCAGGCGCGACAGCGUGGGGAUCAAACAGG